AGUCGAGCGGCAACAGGGGAUAACGUUUCUUGUUACUCUGUCUGGCAAGCGGCGAACGGGUGAGUAAAAUCUGGGGAUCUGCCCAACGGAGGGGGAUAACUAUUGGAAACGAUAGCUAAUACCGCAUAAAGUCGGUUUGACCAAAGUAGGGGAUCUCUUAUUAAAAUAAGUUUUUUGUUAUUUUUAAAAAAGACCUUAUGCCUUUGGAUGAACCCAGAUAGGAUUAGCUAGUAGGCGGGGUAAUAGCCCACCUAGGCUACGAUCCUUAGCUGGUCUGAGAGGAUGACCAGCCACACUGGAACUGAGACACGGUCCAGACUCCUACGGGAGGCAGCAGUGGGGAAUAUUGCACAAUGGGGGAAAUUCUGAUGCAGCUAUACCGUGUGUGUGAAGAAGGCCUUCGGGUUGUAAAGCACUUUCAAUGGGGAAGAAUUUAAUAUUGCUAAUAUCAAUAUUAAUUGACGUUACCCAUGUAAGAAGCACCGGCUAACUCCGUGCCAGCAGCCGCGGUAAUACGGAGGGUGCAAGCGUUAAUCGGAAUUACUGGGCGUAAAGCGUACGCAGGUGGUGUAUAAAAUCAGAUGUGAAAUCCCUGAGCUUAACUUAGGAACUGCAUUUGAAACUAAUAAACUAGAGUCUCGUAGAGGGGGGUAGAAUUCCAGGUGUAGCGGUGAAAUGCGUAGAGAUCUGGAGGAAUACCAGUGGCGAAGGCGGCCCCCUGGACGGUGACUGACACUCAAGUACGAAAGCAUGGGGAGCAAACAGGAUUAGAUACCCUGGUAGUCCAUGCUGUAAACGAUGUCGAUUUGAAGGUUGUAGACUUUGAGCUGUGACUUUCGAAGCUAACGCGUUAAAUCGACCGCCUGGGGAGUACGACCGCAAGGUUAAAACUCAAAUGAAUUGACGGGGGCCCGCACAAGCGGUGGAGCAUGUGGUUUAAUUCGAUGCAACACGAAGAACCUUACCUACUCUUGACAUCCAAAGAAUCUUAUAGAAAUAUGAGAGUGCCUUCGGGAACUUUGAGACAGGUGCUGCAUGGCUGUCGUCAGCUCGUGUUGUGAAAUGUUGGGUUAAGUCCCGCAACGAGCGCAACCCUUAUCCUUUGUUGCCAACGAGUAAAGUCGGGAACUCAAAGGAGACUGCCGGUGAUAAGCCGGAGGAAGGUGAGGAUGACGUCAAGUCAUCAUGGCCCUUAUGAGUAGGGCUACAAACGUGCUACAAUGGCGUAUACAAAGAGCAGCAAACUCGCGAGAGCCAGCGAACCUCAUCAAAGUACGUCUUAGUCCGGAUUGGAGUCUGCAACUCGACUCCAUGAAGUCGGAAUCGCUAGUAAUCGUGGAUCAGAAUGUCACGGUGAAUACGUUCCCGGGCCUUGUACACACCGCCCGUCACACCAUGGAAGUGGGUUGCAAAAGAAGUGAGUAGUCUAACC
This 1432-nucleotide ribosomal RNA is filed under the name uncultured bacterium. RNAcentral describes it as "16S ribosomal RNA". It matches the Rfam family "Bacterial small subunit ribosomal RNA". The record is from RNAcentral.